GGACGAACGCUGGCGGCGUGCUUAACACAUGCAAGUCGAACGGAAAGGCCCUGCUUUUGUGGGGUGCUCGAGUGGCGAACGGGUGAGUAACACGUGAGUAACCUGCCCUUGACUUUGGGAUAACUUCAGGAAACUGGGGCUAAUACCGGAUAGGAGCUCCUGCUGCAUGGUGGGGGUUGGAAAGUUUCGGCGGUUGGGGAUGGACUCGCGGCUUAUCAGCUUGUUGGUGGGGUAGUGGCUUACCAAGGCUUUGACGGGUAGCCGGCCUGAGAGGGUGACCGGCCACAUUGGGACUGAGAUACGGCCCAGACUCCUACGGGAGGCAGCAGUGGGGAAUAUUGCACAAUGGGCGGAAGACUGAUGCAGCAACGCCGCGUGCGGGAUGACGGCCUUCGGGUUGUAAACCGCUUUCGCCUGUGACGAAGCGUGAGUGACGGUAAUGGGUAAAGAAGCACCGGCUAACUACGUG
RNAcentral lists this ribosomal RNA (469 nucleotides) under uncultured bacterium. RNAcentral describes it as "partial 16S ribosomal RNA". It matches the Rfam family "Bacterial small subunit ribosomal RNA", at positions 27 to 507 of the family's 1533-position model. The record is from RNAcentral.